GGAAAGUCAAAAACAGAUUCCAGGCAUGCGUUUGCCAUUUAAAGACUGCGUUAUACACUACGGAGUUAUUAGAUUAAGUCAAAUGUCAACAACCACUGGCCCCGACCUGGGGGCUGCCGAAGUCAUAGAGAUUGACUGUGUUUCUGCUCAGAAGAAGGGUUUUUGAUAAUUGAUUCCACAAUGUCCGUAAACGUGGUUGAAGUUGAACAUAGCCACAUCGCUGCAGUUAUCGUUGUGCGGUGCCAUUUUUAGAUGCACGCCCGCAUCUAGAUACUUUAGCCCUCUCGCCUUUCUUAUUCCUUUUGAUUUUUUUAUUUUGAAUUCAUAUUGUUUGGACGAUUACUGGAUUAAUGCACAGUCAGCAUAGACUUGUCCGUGAGGCAUGCAGACAUGCCGGACGGGUAUGUGGAGUAGGCAUGCAGACAUGUCACUGCUCCGCAACGGACAUUAUUAUUCAGUGUUUCAGGGCUUCCCGGGCCCUUACCCCAUGUAACAUACGAGUGGCAAUUUCUGAGCAUCCCAGAGCAAUCCGUCAGCCAACAACACUAUGGGGGUGGUACACAAUAGGGCUGCUCAGGCCUGGGGUCUCAGGGUUCAAAGAGAGGCGGGCUGCUUGAAGGGGGCAGGGUGAACACCGUCAAGGGUGUGGGCACACAAUAGUUGAUCGCUUGGCCCCCGCCACCCCCAGUAAUACGUUUAGGUGGCUCUACCUUCGAGCACGAUUGGAAUCCACCUGAUUCUAGAUCCCACCGGACGGAACCGCACUUCCACAAGCUGGUUUCAGACUGUCCAUGUUAUCGCCACACUGAGAAGAGCUAAAAAACAUCGUUACAUAUUCAUUUUAUAGUUUUCGCAGCUUUCCGCAGUUUCCGCAGCCUUUCCGCAAAGGGCCUCCC
RNAcentral lists this long non-coding RNA (896 nucleotides) under Volvox carteri. Its description in RNAcentral is "long non-coding RNA (VCAR_LNC001471)". The record is from RNAcentral. Lineage: Eukaryota; Viridiplantae; Chlorophyta; Chlorophyceae; Chlamydomonadales; Volvocaceae.